RNAcentral lists this unclassified non-coding RNA (912 nucleotides) under Hevea brasiliensis (rubber tree). Lineage: Eukaryota; Viridiplantae; Streptophyta; Magnoliopsida; Malpighiales; Euphorbiaceae. The record is from RNAcentral.
AGUUAUGAGUCCCUUUUCUAAACUAAAAAUGUAAGUUGUUUCAUAUAUCAAUGAAUUCUAAUAUCUUUUUUAGUUUAGAAAAGGGACUCAUAACUAAAAGGCCUAUCUAAAACAACCCCACCCAAAUCCAAAUUGAGGGUCCAAGCCCUUCAAAAAACCCUAGCUGAUGAUGCACCAUUGCCCAGACCCAUGAUCCGCCUGAAGAAAAGAAAAGCUACUGCAGAAGGAGCUGCGUAGAGAGAUGAUUGAACUUUCACCAGUGAAAGACAACUUUGAUUGAAGCAUCAAUGGACUACAAACGACUAACAUCGCCUUAAAAGAGAGUCCCGAAAGCAACCCAGGGUGAAAAAGGCUAGGCAAUCUAGAAGACCUCCUGAAAAUAGAAGCACCAGCCAUGGCAACACCGCUGUUAGGAUUGAAUGGGUAGGAAAGAUCUAGAAAACUCAAACCCACAAAAGCAGUGCUAAAGCCCCUAGAUCCAAAGCUUGAAAGGAGCAGAAAUUUGAGAGAAAGGUAGAGCCCUGUGGCUUCUCAUUCUCAUAUAGCCGGAGGGGGCGACACUCACUCGGUCAACUCUUAACCCUCGGGGUACCUUCCUCUCUCUCUACCACAGCAAUUGAAGCAAUUUCCCCUCUAGAGCAACAACACAAACACAAAAACACAUGCAAACUAACAUAGAGUCAAAUAGGUCAAAUGAACUGCAGACAUGUAAACCAAAAAUAAAAUAACCUAUCUAUAAUCCAUCCCGGAGGGGAGGGUGUAACCCAUAUUCGGGCUGAGGGACGAGCUCCCCCUGCCCUUGAGGAGCAGAGGGAGCCGCUGGUCGGCAGAAUAAGGAGGAACUAGACCCUAGCUAAACAAAUAGAAAUGAGAGAAAAAACAAGGAACCCUCUUCACAAUACACAAACAAUG